CAUUUCCUGGAAUAUAUUUUGAAUACAACUUAUUAGAGCAAGUUUAUGCAGAUAUCAUUCCCAUGUUUAGAACUGUAGUUACUCAAGAUUUUGUAUUUGGUCUUUCCAGGGUUAAAAGUUGACCAUAAAUUAGUCCAUAUCACAAGUAGACAUUGCCAAAUGCUAAUAGACAGUCAUGUUGCACAAGCCUAAUCCAGUUAUUCAAAUAUUUGUCUGCAACCAAAUUUGUAAAUAUGUAAAUAUACACUGCAUAUUGUCCUAUUCUUUGUAACUAAUAUAUAUGCCUUUCACAAGUUAUAGCUUGCAUUUCUUUAGGUGUAAAAAAGUACUGCAUGGUCUAUUCUUUUGAUUUUCUUGGAAACAAAGCAUUCAAAUAGGGAUAUGAGAUGUAAGCGAUGGGGGCAACUCACCAAAGCUUACAUUUGUUGAUUCUGGAAUGUCUGUCACCAACCUGCAUGCAUCAUGCCACCGUCUUACCAAUGAAGGUAUUCUCUUUUGGUUGGAUUGCUUGGACUCGGUGAGUCAGGAUCCACCAUCACCUAGUUAUAAGCUGGUUAUUUUCUUUAGAAACAUAAACAAUAAUGCUUUAAUGCAUACAGUAAAUCAUGUUGACGCAGAUACCUUUAUUUUAAAAUGGCACAACAUUUGCCUGUCGUCUAAGGCAAAUUUACACUGUUCUUGACCUUGUACAAAUCUUAAUGUAUGAUAAGAUAAUGAGCCAUGUGAGCUGUCAACUAGUUUGUCAGUUUUUUCAAACAAAUUGAAGUGCUCUGAACUUUAUCUGCUCAAAUGCUAGCAGAUUUUGUUAUGGAAAUAUUUUUAGGUAAUUCACAUAAUAUUGAUUCUCAAUAAGUGCCUGCGCCCAAAUAUGCUGGUAUAUUUGCUGACACUAGCAAAAAAGCAAGGUGGGCAUCUCUGUAAGUUAUAAUUUGAACCAAAUGUGGAAUUGGGAACUGUAUUUUUUUUCAAUCAACAGUAACAACUUUCAAAUCUACAAGGUCAACAUUCACGUUUUGAAGCUUCGGGUCAGUUCUCUACCAAAUCAGCCUAUGAGGCCCUUUUCAAUGGAUCCGUUUAUUUUGCAGUGGGCAAACUGAUCUGGGGCACUUGGGCACCAAAGAAAUGCAAGUUUUUCAUGUGGCUAGUCGCCCAUAACCGCUGUUGGACAGCAGACAGACUUGCUCGUCGGGGCCUAUCACAUCCAGAUCAUUGUCCUCUUUGUGAACAAGAAGAGGAGACAAUCAACCACCUUCUCUCGGCAUGUGUGUUUGCCCGGCAGUUUUGGCAUCGGUUUUUGGGCUGUUUUGGAUUUCAGGCUGUCACGCCUCUUCCUAAUGAUUUGGAUUUCUUUAUGUGGUGGCAGCAGGCUGGUGACAGGAUAAGUGCUGGUGUGUUGCAGGGGUUCAAUACCCUGGUCGUUCUGGGAGCAUGGUCUAUUUGGAGGACUAGAAAUGAUACUGUGUUUGAUAGGAUCGCUCCCAGUGUUGAUAGAGCCCUCUUGCUUGCACGGGAUGAAGCUGAACUUUGGAUGCUUGCAGGUGCAAAGGGGCUGAGUGCGGUGGUCGCGGUCGCAUUUCCUGAUUAGGAGUCCUAUAUAGCGACAGACUAGUGGUCACGGUGGUUGUUUUAUUGUUUUUUGUUUAUCGGCGCGUCUGUAACUUUCAAACAGUGAACCCCAGGGGCUGGGUGGUGGUGUGUGUCUUGGGUGCGUAGUGGUGUGUGUACUUUGGCUAUUUUGGCCUUUUUCCUCUUCUUAAUGCAAUGAUAUGCAGCUCUCCUGCAUAUUCGAGAAAAAAAAACAUUCAUGACUUUCGAUAAUCUAUAGAUACUGAAAGCAACUUUCAAGUGGAUCUACUCUGAACUGAUAUUGCAGUUAAGAGGUAUACCACGUUUCUUUUGGGGGAAAAAAAACAGUGAUCCAACUUGGCUUCUUAAUUUAAAGAGUAGCUUGCAUCAUGCACCAGAGCACCAUGUUUUACUUUGCAUUAUGUUUGCCACACUCUUUUACUUUGCACCAAUGUAAAUCAAAAUAAGUUUACUUUUUAACGAAUUAUGCCGUGAACCCUGAGUGGAACCUUAUGAAAUAUGAGGGAAAUCACAUGAGACCUCGUGAAUUUCGAUCAUGUUUUAUAAGGUUUCAUUAAGGUUUUGUGAAAAUUCAUGAGUUCUCUGUAGGCUUUAUGAUACUCUAGUGCCAGGUCAUAAUUUACCAUGGUGUAAAAAGAAAGUGCACUAAACCAGGUGCAAACAAAAUACGAUUUACAUGGAGCAAAGUGCAGUUUACACUAAUUUAAAAUCCUAGCAUGCUGCAAGUAGACAUGUGGGUAUGAACUCACCAAAGUGUAAAGGGUCCUCAUGUCAUGCCCAGCUAUCUCAAUCCUUGGUUCAUUGGCUACUUGUGACGGCUUGAGCUCAGAUCCAUUAGUGAGUUCCCUAUUGUUGUAUAGGACUCUGAGUGAUGCUGAUUUGAUAAAUGGGUCCAAGAUAUCGCCAACUACGUUGCCAACGACAAGUGGGUCCCUUGACAUGGUUAGCUAAGAUUGGCAAUCUUGAACACGAGCUAACUUGCCUGUCGUAUGAGCUUGGGUGAAGUGAAGGGUGCAGGCUGGUGCUCUAUAUAUACUGCAGGUCCCCAAUGAGGCAUCAUUCACGAUGACUGAAAAUAUUAGCUCUGGACGCCAUGGUAUCUUGCUUUAUACUGCAAAGAAUGAUAUGCGUUGCCAUCACUGAAAAUAUUUCGAGUUGUCCACCCUCUGCACCUACACCAAUGGAAGGAGUGCUCACUGCAUUUCCACAUAGGUGAAUAAAAUCUGAUGUAUCACAUUCACUUAUUCCCUAUAUCUAGGACCUAUUAAAUAGUUGUUCAUAGCCAAAAAGUAGAUUGCCUUUUGACUUGUCUGUAAUCUCCCAGACUGACGCCUUAUUUUCUUCGUUUUCAGUUUUCAGUUUUUUUUCCCAAAUAUGUUGCACGAUUAACGUUUAGCCUUAUUGGUUGUUAUCUAUCUGUCUAUCUGCUCCGUAGCAUAUUGAAAAAUGAUUGUGUUGAUGGUAUUUUAACAAGGAUGAACUCUCUAAGUAAUAUGAAUAACUAAGAGGUUUUGUUGACCAGGAUAGAAGUUUUGGUGGGACGAGCAUACUAUACUGCAAUGAUAGAAGGUGGUGGGGGAUUUUCUUCACAAAUGCAACAAGUGUUCGGUGUCUGCUCCUAAGAUAAUAAUUUCAAUAUUAGAUGCCCAAGAUGCUAAUUUGUGGUACAAGUGUAUGGUCUAUCUCACUGCAUGCUGUCAUCUAGAAUUCAGAAUCAUGUUCAGUUCUUCUGCAAACAUCAUAAGUAGUAACUGCUUCUUUUUGUUUAACGAUUGUUAUGUGGGGUUUCAGCACUCAUUCUAUCAAUUUUGAUGCAAAUUUCCACUGAGAAGCAGCUUCUCCUUUUCUAUAUCUGUAAAGAAGGGGGGUUGGAGCUUUAUUCUUUCUUUGCAGCUUGAUACUGUAAAUAUGAUAUGUUUGUAAUGGAUUACUUUAGGAUCUAUUCUGAUCUGCAGACAUUAGUAGUGGUCAAACAUAAUCUCUUUGUAUUUUAAAAUUCUAUUUCUCAGGACAAAUAGAUGUGCCAGAGAAUGUAUAAAGCCAUAAAUCCAUUUGAUUUUUGCUUCUUACAAUAUCCUGAGGUUCUAUUUUUUAGAACAAAUGUUGCCACAUCGUAGUGUUAUAUCCUAGAUCACUGUGUUUCAGAAUAUCUGCAUGUCCCUGUGUACCUUAUGACAUCAGUCUUUUGGGAGCUACUCUAUGCACUCCAUGGUGUUUAGGACCACAUAUCCGAAGACAUAUUGGUACAGUUGACUAAUCACAAUUUCAAGUUUCCAAAUCAUUCUGAAAAAUUCACUUGAAAGCUACAUAUUCUGGUGUCUGAUGUGCAUGUUUUACAAAUGCAGGCACACAACUACAUUAUACCUGCACCCAUCUCUUCUGACUUCUAUUCUAGUUAAAUUGAUGGAAUAUGACCUUCGGAGGAGCUCCAAGUUUGCUGAUCUUUUGUUUUGGUGAAAAUGAACUGCCUACGGCAGCUGAUAUGGUCUCCAAAGAGAGGUGGCAGAGCUGUGACAGAUAAGGUCUACAAUGAUCUAGGCUAGUUAUCAGGUAUUUGUGUUUCAGUUCUGUGCCGAAAGCCUGAAAGGUGACACUACUUGCAUUGGAGGCAAGAAGCUCAAAAUCGAUCAGAGAAUCUCUGCUGUGCCUUACAAAGGUGAUGCUAAUAAAGUAGAAACUUGUCUCCCAAUCCUUAAUACCAGACCUUCAGCCACUUCUGCGAGUUCCGAAACAUGGAACUGAAAGAGUUCAGUUAACAUGAUGGUUCAUUGAGUAUGAACGCCAAAGUUAGUGAAAUGACUGGAAUCCAUGGAACUCUUUCCCGGUUCAUUGCACAUUCUUGAUCCUUGACCAACGAAUAAAGCAGUUCUUCUCUUCACGUGAGCAUAUCCCAUUGGUCCAGCCACUCCAAGGGCGAAUGCAAAAAAAGUUGUACUUCACAUGGGUUGCUAAAGCUCGGAAAUGGACAUUUGACAAAGAAACUAUGAGCGCUGGAAUUGCAUUGAAUGGUAUUGGUACAGAGCAAUUUCCACAAACAGAAAACCUCCACUACCCUGUCAAUGCUCUCUGAUGGCAAAAACUGGAUUGCGAUGCCUGCUUCUUUCAUGGCCUCGCAAAGUUGGAAGGAUUCCUUACAACAACAA
Molecule: long non-coding RNA, 4730 nt
Organism: Panicum virgatum (switchgrass)
Lineage: Eukaryota; Viridiplantae; Streptophyta; Magnoliopsida; Poales; Poaceae
Exons: 4
Source: RefSeq, a predicted model, not a curated record